UACGUAGGUGACCAGCGUUGUCCGGAUUUACUGGGCGUAAAGAGCGCGCAGGCGGUCGUUCAAGUCGAGUGUGAAAGCCCCCGGCUCAACUGGGGAGGGUCAUUCGAUACUGAUCGACUUGAAGGCAGGAGAGGGAAGCGGAAUUCCCGGUGUAGUGGUGAAAUGCGUAGAUAUCGGGAGGAACACCGGUGGCGAAGGCGGCAUCCUGGACCGACACUGACACUGAGGAGCGAAAGCCAGGGGAGCAAACGGG
Molecule: ribosomal RNA, 253 nt
Filed under: uncultured bacterium
Lineage: Bacteria
Description: partial 16S ribosomal RNA
Rfam family: Bacterial small subunit ribosomal RNA
Source: RNAcentral